This 237-nucleotide ribosomal RNA is filed under the name uncultured bacterium. Its description in RNAcentral is "partial 16S ribosomal RNA". It matches the Rfam family "Bacterial small subunit ribosomal RNA", at positions 96 to 334 of the family's 1533-position model. The record is from RNAcentral.
CGGCGGACGGGUGAGUAACGCGUGGGUAACCUGCCUCAUACAGGGGGAUAACAGUUGGAAACGGCUGCUAAUACCGCAUAAGCGCACAGUACCGCAUGGUACGGUGUGAAAAACUCCGGUGGUAUGAGAUGGACCCGCGCUGAUUAGGUAGUUGGUGGGGUAACGGCCUACCAAGCCGACGAUCAGUAGCCGACCUGAGAGGGUGACCGGCCACAUUGGGACUGAGACACGGCCCAA